This 73-nucleotide transfer RNA is filed under the name Sus scrofa (pig). It matches the Rfam family "tRNA". Rfam says of the family: Transfer RNA (tRNA) molecules are approximately 80 nucleotides in length. The record is from Rfam by way of RNAcentral. Lineage: Eukaryota; Metazoa; Chordata; Mammalia; Artiodactyla; Suidae.
UCCUGGGUGGCCCAGCUGUUAAGGACCCAGCAUUGUCACUGCUAUGGCGCAGGUUCGAUCCCUGGCCUGGGAA